Molecule: ribosomal RNA, 433 nt
Filed under: uncultured bacterium
Lineage: Bacteria
Description: partial 16S ribosomal RNA
Rfam family: Bacterial small subunit ribosomal RNA
Source: RNAcentral
AACGAACGCUGGCGGCAUGCCUAACACAUGCAAGUCGAACGAGACCUUCGGGUCUAGUGGCGCACGGGUGCGUAACGCGUGGGAACCUGCCCUUAGGUUCGGAAUAACUCCCCGAAAGGGGUGCUAAUACCGGAUAAUGUCUUCGGACCAAAGAUUUAUCGCCUUUGGAUGGGCCCGCGUUGGAUUAGCUAGUUGGUAGGGUAAAAGCCUACCAAGGCGACGAUCCAUAGCUGGUCUGAGAGGAUGAUCAGCCACACUGGGACUGAGACACGGCCCAGACUCCUACGGGAAGCAGCAGUGGGGAAUAUUGGACAAUGGGCGAAAGCCUGAUCCAGCAAUGCCGCGUGAGUGAUGAAGGCCUUAGGGUUGUAAAGCCCUUUUACCCGGGAUGAUAAUGACAGUACCGGGAGAAUAAGCGCCGGCUAACUCCGUG